ACAAAACAUGAUAAUAAUUGAAGAGUUUGAUCAUGGCUCAGAUUGAACGCUGGCGGUAGGCUUAACACAUGCAAGUCGUGCGAGAAAAUAUCUUCGGAUAUGAGUAGAGCGGCGAACGGGUGAGUAACGCGUAGGAAUGUACCUAGUAGAAGGGGAUAGCCCGGGGAAACUCGGAUUAAUACCGUAUACCUCCUUUGGGAGAAAGAAGGCCUCUCUUUGAAGCUUUCGCUAUUAGAUCAGCCUGCGUAAGAUUAGCUUGUUGGUGAGGUAAUGGCUCACCAAGGCUACGAUCUUUAGCUGGUCUGAGAGGACGAUCAGCCACAUUGGGACU
Molecule: ribosomal RNA, 331 nt
Filed under: Gammaproteobacteria bacterium TMED186
Lineage: Bacteria; Pseudomonadati; Pseudomonadota; Gammaproteobacteria
Description: bacterial SSU rRNA
Rfam family: Bacterial small subunit ribosomal RNA
Source: RNAcentral